GACGAACGCUGGCGGCGUGCUUAACACAUGCAAGUCGAACGGAAAGGCCCUGCUUGCGGGGUACUCGAGUGGCGAACGGGUGAGUAACACGUGGGUGAUCUGCCCUGCACUUCGGGAUAAGCCUGGAAAACUGGGUCGAAUACCGGAUAGGAGGCAGUAUUAGCGCGAUGGUUGGAAAGUUUUUUCGGUGUAGGGUGAGCUCGCGGCCGUUUAGCUUGUUGGUGGGGUAAUGGCCUACCAAGGCGGCGACGGGUAGCCGGCCUGGGAGGGUGGACGGCCAGCCUGGCACUGACAGACAGACCAGACACACUCGGGCGGCAGGCGGCGGGAAGGUUGCACAAGGGGCGCGAGCCUGAUGCAGCGAGGCCGCGUGGGGGAUGACGGCCUUCGGGUUGUAAGCGCCUUUCGCUAGGGACGAAGCUUUUUGUGACGGUACCUAGAUAAGAAGCACCGGCUAACUACGUG
Molecule: ribosomal RNA, 465 nt
Filed under: uncultured bacterium
Lineage: Bacteria
Description: partial 16S ribosomal RNA
Rfam family: Bacterial small subunit ribosomal RNA
Source: RNAcentral